GAUGAACGCUGGCGGCGUGCCUAAUACAUGCAAGUCGAGCGAACAGACGAGGAGCUUGCUCCUCUGACGUUAGCGGCGGACGGGUGAGUAACACGUGGAUAACCUACCUAUAAGACUGGGAUAACUUCGGGAAACCGGAGCUAAUACCGGAUAAUAUAUUGAACCGCAUGGUUCAAUAGUGAAAGACGGUUUUGCUGUCACUUAUAGAUGGUUCCGCGCCGCAUUAGCUAGUUGGUAAGGUAACGGCUUACCAAGGCAACGAUGCGUAGCCGACCUGAGAGGGUGAUCGGCCACACUGGAACUGAGACACGGUCCAGACUCCUACGGGAGGCAGCAGUAGGGAAUCUUCCGCAAUGGGCGAAAGCCUGACGGAGCAACGCCGCGUGAGUGAUGAAGGUCUUCGGAUCGUAAAACUCUGUUAUUAGGGAAGAACAAAUGUGUAAGUAACUAUGCACGUCUUGACGGUACCUAAUCAGAAAGCCACGGCUAACUACGU
RNAcentral lists this ribosomal RNA (496 nucleotides) under uncultured bacterium. RNAcentral describes it as "partial 16S ribosomal RNA". It matches the Rfam family "Bacterial small subunit ribosomal RNA", at positions 28 to 506 of the family's 1533-position model. The record is from RNAcentral.